RNAcentral lists this ribosomal RNA (524 nucleotides) under uncultured bacterium. RNAcentral describes it as "partial 16S ribosomal RNA". It matches the Rfam family "Bacterial small subunit ribosomal RNA", at positions 28 to 523 of the family's 1533-position model. The record is from RNAcentral.
GACGAGCGCUGGCGGCGUGCCUAAUACAUGCAAGUCGAACGCUUUUUCUUUCACCGGAGCUUGCUCCACCGAAAGAAAAAGAGUGGCGAACGGGUGAGUAACACGUGGGUAACCUGCCCAUCAGAAGGGGAUAACACUUGGAAACAGGUGCUAAUACCGUAUAACACUAUUUUCCGCAUGGAAGAAAGUUGAAAGGCGCUUUUGCGUCACUGAUGGAUGGACCCGCGGUGCAUAUAGCUAGUUGGUGAGGUAACGGCUCACCAAGGCAACGAUGAGUAGCCGACCUGAGAGGGUGAUCGGCCACACUGGGACUGAGACACGGCCCAGACUCCUACGGGAGGCAGCAGUAGGGAAUCUUCGGCAAUGGACGAAAGUCUGACCGAGCAACGCCGCGUGAGUGAAGAAGGUUUUCGGAUCGUAAAACUCUGUUGUUAGAGAAGAACAAGGAUGAGAGUAGAACGUUCAUCCCUUGACGGUAUCUAACCAGAAAGCCACGGCUAACUACGUGCCAGCCGCCGCGGUAA